Molecule: ribosomal RNA, 427 nt
Filed under: uncultured bacterium
Lineage: Bacteria
Description: bacterial SSU rRNA
Rfam family: Bacterial small subunit ribosomal RNA
Source: RNAcentral
UGGGGAAUAUUGCACAAUGGGGGAAACCCUGAUGCAGCGACGCCGCGUGGGGGAUGACGGCCUUCGGGUUGUAAACCUCUUUCAGUAGGGAAGAAGCCUUCGGGUGACGGUACCUGCAGAAGAAGUACCGGCUAACUACGUGCCAGCAGCCGCGGUAAUACGUAGGGUACAAGCGUUGUCCGGAAUUAUUGGGCGUAAAGAGCUCGUAGGUGGUCUGUCACGUCUGCUGUGGAAACGCAAGGCUCAACCUUGCGCGUGCAGUGGGUACGGGCGGACUAGAGUGCAGUAGGGGAGUCUGGAAUUCCUGGUGUAGCGGUGAAAUGCGCAGAUAUCAGGAGGAACACCGGUGGCGAAGGCGGGACUCUGGGCUGUAACUGACGCUGAGGAGCGAAAGCAUGGGGAGCGAACAGGAUUAGAUACCCUGGUA